Long non-coding RNA from Thalassophryne amazonica, 725 nucleotides. RefSeq lists it as uncharacterized. The transcript is spliced from 2 exons. Lineage: Eukaryota; Metazoa; Chordata; Actinopteri; Batrachoidiformes; Batrachoididae. The record is from RefSeq and is a predicted model, not a curated record.
UGUGUGUGUGUGUGUGUGUGUGUGUGUGUGGAUUAGACGAGUCCACUUAGUGGCUACCACUUAUUUCUAUGCUAAAAUCCAUAGAAUGUAUAUAUCAUAAGGAAGAAACAUUUCCUUAUGUAAUUCCUUCAGAGGAAAGGAUCUCCUUUUCAUCUCUGGGGCUACAUUUGACUGAUUGUUCUGUCUCAGUCAAUAAAUCAUAGUGAUGCAACCUCUGAGUAAACAACUUCACUGUUGUGUCGAAGAAAGAGCCUUGCCGCACUUGUCUGAUUUGAUUUGUAAAACGGGCGAUUUUGCAUCUAAUUUGUGAAUAUUUUGUUGUUUGAAAAUGGCAGGAUGAAUUUUAAAUGGCAAAACAGACAGGAACUGCUUUAAAUCUGCAGAUAAAUGAAGACGGAGCAGCUUGAAGUUGGUAUUUUUCCUUUUAUUGUAACCCACUUUGUGGGAGGAGUGGUAUGACCUCAAAUAAGGCUGCCCAAAGAGAAUUUUUAAAUGUAUUCUGAUUGCAACUGGGUCUCAGCAUUGCAUGAAAAACAUCUUCUCAGAAAGCUGUGUUCCUGCUGCAAAGAUAACUUUCCAGUAAAAGUUUGGGUUUCCAUUUUCAUGAUGUUUAACAUGAUGUCGGGCCAACUUCAAGAACUGGUGAGUUCUAACUGACAUGGGGCUCCACACUGUGGUACGUCACCACACAUCAUCAUGGUCUGGGGGGGGGGUCACCUGGCAAA